Molecule: ribosomal RNA, 253 nt
Filed under: uncultured bacterium
Lineage: Bacteria
Description: partial 16S ribosomal RNA
Rfam family: Bacterial small subunit ribosomal RNA
Source: RNAcentral
UACGUAGGCAGCAAGCGUUGUUCGGAAUUACUGGGCGUAAAGAGUGUGUAGGCGGUGCUCUAAGUUCGGUGUUAAAUCUCCUGGCUCAACUGGGAGGGUGCGCCGGAAACUGGGGUGCUGGAGCGCGGGAGAGGAAAGCGGAAUUCCUGGUGUAGCGGUGAAAUGCGUAGAUAUCAGGAGGAACACCGGCGGUGUAGACGGCUUUCUGGACCGUAGCUGACGCUGAGACACGAAAGCGUGGGGAGCGAACAGG